UCGAUUCCGGAGAGGGAGCCUGAGAAAUGGCUACCACUUCUACGGAAGGCAGCAGGCGCGCAAAUUACUCAAUCCCAAUACGGGGAAGUAGUGACAAAAAAUACUAAUGCCUUUCCAUUUAUAUGGGGGGCAAUUGGAAUAAGUACAACUUAAAUCGCUUAGCAAAAGUGAUUGGAGGGCAAGUCUGGUGCCAGCAGCCGCGGUAAUUCCAGCUCCAAUAGCGUAUACUAAAUUUGUUGCAGUUAAAAAGCUCGUAGUUGAGAUUGAGAUUUCUUAGGUUUAGAGUCGCUUGGCCUUCGGGUUUGAGUUUGAUUCGUAAAGCUCUAUAGUAGAAUUCCAUUUUAUUAUUAGGGUUACUAAGAAAUUUCUAUCUGCCCAUGGUAGCUAGCAAUAGUUAUCAAUCGGGUGAUCUACUGUGAGAAAAUUGUAGUGUUCAAAGCAGGCGUCUUACGUUUGUUCAAUGCAGCAUGGUAUAGUAAAAUAUGACACUAAAUAUAUGUUGGUUGUAUAUUCUUAGUGUAAUGACUAAUAGGGAAGGGCGGGGCCGUUCAUAUUGG
Molecule: ribosomal RNA, 557 nt
Filed under: Heterostelium pallidum
Lineage: Eukaryota; Evosea; Eumycetozoa; Acytosteliales; Acytosteliaceae
Description: SSU rRNA
Rfam family: Eukaryotic small subunit ribosomal RNA
Source: RNAcentral